RNAcentral lists this ribosomal RNA (787 nucleotides) under uncultured Staphylococcus sp. RNAcentral describes it as "bacterial SSU rRNA". It matches the Rfam family "Bacterial small subunit ribosomal RNA", at positions 82 to 855 of the family's 1533-position model. Lineage: Bacteria; Bacillati; Bacillota; Bacilli; Caryophanales; Staphylococcaceae. The record is from RNAcentral.
UUCUCUGAUGUUAGCGGCGGACGGGUGAGUAACACGUGGAUAACCUACCUAUAAGACUGGGAUAACUUCGGGAAACCGGAGCUAAUACCGGAUAAUAUUUUGAACCGCAUGGUUCAAAAGUGAAAGACGGUCUUGCUGUCACUUAUAGAUGGAUCCGCGCUGCAUUAGCUAGUUGGUAAGGUAACGGCUUACCAAGGCAACGAUGCAUAGCCGACCUGAGAGGGUGAUCGGCCACACUGGAACUGAGACACGGUCCAGACUCCUACGGGAGGCAGCAGUAGGGAAUCUUCCGCAAUGGGCGAAAGCCUGACGGAGCAACGCCGCGUGAGUGAUGAAGGUCUUCGGAUCGUAAAACUCUGUUAUUAGGGAAGAACAUAUGUGUAAGUAACUGUGCACAUCUUGACGGUACCUAAUCAGAAAGCCACGGCUAACUACGUGCCAGCAGCCGCGGUAAUACGUAGGUGGCAAGCGUUAUCCGGAAUUAUUGGGCGUAAAGCGCGCGUAGGCGGUUUUUUAAGUCUGAUGUGAAAGCCCACGGCUCAACCGUGGAGGGUCAUUGGAAACUGGAAAACUUGAGUGCAGAAGAGGAAAGUGGAAUUCCAUGUGUACGGUGAAAUGCGCAGAGAUAUGGAGGAACACCAGUGGCGAAGGCGACUUUCUGGUCUGUAACUGACGCUGAUGUGCGAAAGCGUGGGGAUCAAACAGGAUUAGAUACCCUGGUAGUCCACGCCGUAAACGAUGAGUGCUAAGUGUUAUGGGGUUUCUCGCCCCUUAGUGCUGCAGCUAA